This 208-nucleotide unclassified non-coding RNA is filed under the name uncultured fungus. Its description in RNAcentral is "sequence contains ITS1". Lineage: Eukaryota; Fungi. The record is from RNAcentral.
UUAAAUAAUUUGAUAUUUAGACUCAGACGACGUAGUUAUAAAGAGUUUAAAAGGCUACUGGCGGGCACAGGCCAGGAGUAAUAAAGCCCCCGGCGGCCCCAAAGGGCGGGCCCGCCAAAGCAACAUGGUAUAGUAGACACAGGGUUGGAGGUCGGGCCGUGAAGACCCUAACUCGGUAAUGAUCCUUCCGCAGGUUCACCUACGGAAA